Molecule: long non-coding RNA, 1531 nt
Organism: Cyprinodon tularosa
Lineage: Eukaryota; Metazoa; Chordata; Actinopteri; Cyprinodontiformes; Cyprinodontidae
Exons: 2
Source: RefSeq, a predicted model, not a curated record
GAGGCAACGGCUCACGAGUCCUUCAACAGAGAGAGAGCAGAGAGAGGGGGCUGAGUGAGCUCUCUCGGCAGCCAUUUUCCUUAAAACAGGACUCAAUGGCCUAUAUGGGUUUCCUUUGUUCCAAAAAGGGAUCUUUACACUUGGUUUCCUCAUCUCUUUACGGACUAUGAUAAAACGUAUGUUUGCUCCUUUUAAAGGAUUGGGAAGAUUGGAAGAGAAUAUAGCUACUGGAUGUAAUACCCUGUGACAUUUUGAGCCUUUUUUUUUUUUUUUCUUGGAAUCCAUCUUUGUCUUAACUAGGUCAUGGCACACCCAUAUAAUAUGUGUAGAUGUUAAGUAAAAAGAAACCAAAUUUGAAUAAACUGUUUUAUGAGUUAAAAAGAUGUCGAAUUAGACAUGAAAACAGUUGAUAUUCAUGUAUAGCCUUUUAAGAAGUGACUAGCUAUAACAACAUGGCUCGUCUUGUUCCCUGACCUGCAACGGUGGAAACAACCAGAACCACGUUUAAGUUCGAGUCGUCCACUCGCCAUUUCUGAGACAAACGCGUCCACAGUGUAAACGACGGUCUGACCUUGCCUCAAGGGUAUAUCUGAAUAUAUAUAUAUCUAUAGAAGCAUAUUCAGAUAGUCAACUUUGUGUAGUAUUUAAAAGCACAAUCAAUCAAAAAUCUAAUAGGAAACCGAUGGAGGAAAAAAAAAUCUCUCAUAGUGAAAAUAUUUACCUCAACACUUUGGUGAAAAGCAGUUAACAGGCCUAAACGCAGGGACAGGAGGAAAGUUUUCAGCCCCAUCUUCGGAUCCUCUAAUAAUGGCUUUAAUAAGGGGUGGGAAUGCGUCUCCUGGAAAGGAAGGGAUUCCAUUAGCACGACAGAUCAUUUUUAAAAAGUCAUUUUUCCCCCCCUCUCAUCACUGGCAAGCAUACCCCAUCUGACAGCCAGCGAAUGUGCAUCUCCAAGCAUCAUCUGUGUGGGCAAUAUAUGCAAAACCAACUCUUCUCUUCCUCAAGACAGGAUUGCAGUCGAGUAUAACCUCGUCCAUUUUCGACAUUUCUAACUGAGCUACAACAUUAAAACCUACAAGGAUGUGUUUUUAAAAAAGGUAACUGAUUUUUCUUAGCUAUUUACACCUACUUUUCCUGAACGUAUACUUAGAAACCUGGAAAAAAAUCUGCUUCAAUCCAUAUUUUAUUUUGAUUAUAGCAAACUUACAGUUAUUUAAAACUCUUACACGAGCCCCCCUCCCCCCCCAAAAAAAAUAAAAAUAUGGGGAGGAUAUCUUGUGUUUUUUCACAUCCAAAUACACUUUAAGGCGGUUAGGUUUCUCUUUCUCAGUUCUGUCUCAAAAUGGCUUCUUUACAGACAAAAGGGAAGCACUGUGCUGUGAAAUGUUGCUGCGCCAUAACUGGGUGAGGCUCAGCAUUGCGCCCUUAUUUUCACCGAACGCCUCCUUCGAUAUUUUCCGGCUCUUAAAACAUAACAUAAAGGCCGGUAGCGAGGAUGGUUACCAACAUAAUGUAUGACUGGGGAAAAAAA